This 68-nucleotide transfer RNA is filed under the name Nesophrosyne montium. RNAcentral describes it as "tRNA-Met". The record is from RNAcentral. Lineage: Eukaryota; Metazoa; Arthropoda; Insecta; Hemiptera; Cicadellidae.
AAAAAGAUAAGCUAAGGAAAGCUAUUAGGUUCAUACCCUAAAGAUAGAAUUAAUCACUCUUCUUUUUA